Molecule: non-coding RNA, 2791 nt
Organism: Zootoca vivipara (common lizard)
Lineage: Eukaryota; Metazoa; Chordata; Lepidosauria; Squamata; Lacertidae
Source: RefSeq, a predicted model, not a curated record
ACUCCCUUUAUAAAGGUUGGCAUCUGGGUUCCGUACCUGAUACUGGGCUGUUGGAGAAAGACAAACUGUCUACCUUGCACUGAGAAACAUCCUACCGGCACUCCCUGAAAAAUUGUGAUCCUUUAGCCCAGAAAAAUCUGUUUCAUCAACUGAGUCUUCAACAUUGCACUUCCUUCACCAUGCAAGCUCUCCUGGGACUCCUCUUCUUCUCUCUGCUUCUUGCUACAGGUACCUCUUUGCAGUGUGAGAUUUGCACAGCCAUUGGAGGAACCUGUUCCAGUGAUAAUGUGGAAUGUGGUUCUGGAAUAGAUACCUGUGCCGUUCUUCAGUAUGAAUCCACACCACCAACUGUCAAUGCCAGCCAAAUAAUUAAAUCAUGUCUUCAGAAGGCUGCUUGUGAAGAAAUCCAGAAAAAGGUAGGGGCGUCUGAUGCCAAGCUUGGAAAACUUACAAAGGUUGAAUGCAACAAGGCCCCAGGAGCAGCUGCAUCUCUCCUCCUCGCUUUCUUCAGCCUCCUGUUGAUGAAGAUUCUCCUGUAAUGAAGCGCUGGCAGCAGUGCAGAAGAGUCUCCUUCUCAUUUCCAUGCAAAUACCUUCAGACCGAAUCACGUGUUUCACUGGAGAGAUCUGUUGUCAUUUCUGAUGUUUCAAGUAAGAACAAAUAAAGAGGAAGAAAAUAAAUAAACCUACUCUUGUUUUGAGGGUGAGAGGGGUGAUCAAAGCAUGUGUUUCCAACAAUGUGAUUGACUAGAUACCAGAAGUAAAAACGCUUCUGGAAAUCCAUGAUUUUCAAGGAAUGCUGAUGUUUUCGGAGGAGAAUUAAGAUAGAUUCUACCAUUAUACAACCUCCUUAGGUUAUGCAAUAUGUAAUAUUGUAAUUAUAAAUUAAUUCAGGAUGCAUUGCAAUGAUCAGUGCAGAUCUCCAUGUGUUGCCUUUCAGCUAGAACAACUAUUUUCUGUGCAUGCACAUGGCCAAAUGAUUAGGAGGGUUCCGAUAUCUUCUUUCAGAGUGACUUAAGUGGAGUUUUCCUUUGAGUUCCAUUUCAUGUGACAGUGCUUGCACAUAAUUCUCUUGAAAGUGAAGUACCUUGCAAUUUCGGUGCUUAGCUUUGAGAACGUAUGGCACCUGUAGCUGCAGUGUGCAUAGGUGGGUGUGCCUGGGUAGAGUUGGGUUUCUACAUCCUGCAGGGGAGCCUACAGAAACAGACUCCCCACUGUAGAUGGCUUCCAUGUAACACAUAAAGGGUGAUGAGGAGUCAAGAGGAAAGGAAGGAAAUGGAUCCAGGAAAUAAUGAGUGAACCAGGGAAGGAAACCCAUGUCAAGCCAUCAGCUCCCUGGCUUCUCACAAAUUCUCAUACGUUUGCUUCUUGCAAUGAUGCACACUAGAUGGGAUGCCAAAGAACUUUGGACAGAGAAAGAUAUGGAAAGUUUCACUUGUGCCUGGUAGGAGUGUAACAUAAGAACACGUGACAAAUAUAAAGCAUGCAAGAUAAGAUGUCACCAGGUCUGCUAACUGAGACAGGGGCCAGUGAGCCUUUCUUAUCCAGAUCCCUCAACUAACUCUUCAUUGUGGUAUGGAAAACACUUCUCAUUUCAAAAGAAUUCUAACAUCUUAUUUUGCUUUUUAUUAUAUUUCUGCAUCUAAACACAUGCCUUUGGACUCUCUCCAAGUGAAAUCCCCUACAGGCCACACCUUUCACUGCCCUUGUUUCACAUCCACUCUAGGUACCUGCCUAGAAUGUGUAUUUAAACUCUGAGAAGUCCGCUCACCUCCUUUUAGUCAUGCUCCGACUUUGUGGGAAGUCCAGCACCUCCCCUUCCACCAAUGAUGUAGGGCUGUGCAUUGAGGUCUGAUCCUGUUCUGCAUCAGCCUGCCGAAUUGGCCAAUGGCAGGCUGGCCUGGAGGGCUGGGCUCUUUGGGGGCAGGCUUGAGGGAACAAUCAGGCUUCCCUCAUAUCCACUCUUUGGGGAUUUAAAACAGCCCACACCAGCCCCCGAUACCCAGCUCUUCUUUGUCAGAUGAACCCACCCACUCACUCUGGUCAUUUGGCAUUUACUCCUUUAAUUGAUCUUGCUGUGGCUGUGGUGGCAGCCAUAUUUGUGGGGCCAGGUAGAAAUUUGCCUACCAGGCAAAUUGGCUUUUACCUGGAGGUUUUGCCUCCAUAGCAAUCAUCACAGUUUUGGCAGUUUAGGCACUGGGUAACAUUAGGGACAGGGACGCAGGUGGCACUGUGGGCUAAACCACAGAGCCUAGGGCUUGCCGAUCAGAAGGUCGGCGGUUCGAACCCUCCAUGACGGGGUGUGCUCCUGUUGCUCAGUCCCAGCUCCUGCCAACCUAGCAUUUCGAAAGCACGUUAAAGGGCAAGUAGAUAAAUAGGUAAGGAAGGUAAACAGCGUUUCCGUGUGCUGCUCUGGUUCGCCAGAAGCAGCUUAGUCAUGCUGGCCACAUGACCCGGAAGCUGUACACUGGCCCGCUCGGCCAGUAAAGCGAGAUAAGCACCACAACCCCAGAGUCGGUCGUGACUGGACCUAAUGGUCAGGGGUCCCUUUACCUUUUUAACCUUAGCCUUGGUUGGAGGGGGAAUUUUAUCCUCACCUUCCCCUCCAGAAAUAGAGUGUCCAAUUAAAGGGGUCCAUGAUGGAGUUAUUUCUGUCCAUUUGCCCAGACGGGCGGCUUGGGCCUCAGCACUCCUAGAGGCGGUGAUCCCUGCGGGGCUACCCCUAUUUGAUGUAAGUCAUAGGAAUCCCUGCUGCUGGGUUGGCCCUGAUGUCAUCUCCCCACUGAGCAGGG